AUCCCAAUGAGGAUCUCAAGACCGACCGAUAGGAAGUGCCGUUUGACACUGUAAGCAACAGCUGCUUCCUCCGGCUGCAGGUGUCUAUCCUCCGACCAUAACCUUUGUGGUUUGGUCUGGGAUGGAGCACCCAUCUGUGGUUCUUGGAUUCUGGCUGUGGUGUGUGAUUUAAAUCGGGUCUCUGAGGGAU
This 190-nucleotide small nucleolar RNA is filed under the name Zea mays. Its description in RNAcentral is "Small nucleolar RNA Z112". It matches the Rfam family "Small nucleolar RNA Z112". From Rfam's summary of the family: Z112 is a member of the C/D class of snoRNA which contain the C (UGAUGA) and D (CUGA) box motifs. Most of the members of the box C/D family function in directing site-specific 2'-O-methylation of substrate RNAs. Lineage: Eukaryota; Viridiplantae; Streptophyta; Magnoliopsida; Poales; Poaceae. The record is from Rfam by way of RNAcentral.